CAGAAGUUAAGGAACUUAGAUAUAUUUUUUCUAAGUCCGUUGCUUUUCUCCUGUGAUUGCUGCGUAAAAGCAAUGGACUUGGGCGCAAUCUCUAGCCCACUCUCAGCCUCGGGCCUCGCGUCCUGGUCCAAUGGUGGAGAAAAAAUUCACAACUCCCGGCUUUCAAGCCUAUCCUAUAAGGCUGCGCCUGUGUGGACCAGACCAAUGUAGGACCAUCCCACUAGUCAGCCUCCCUGUGUCUACAUCCGAAAACGCUCCUGGGCACCUCAUCCCCACAGUUUUAGCUCCAUCCAUUUCAAAGUGGAGUACAAGCUUCACAUUACUGGCCUAGUGAGGGGCUAGUGACUGCCUCUCUACUCGAUCUGAUUAAGCCAGGUUAUUUGAACCACGACGCUCUCUGAGAAUUCACUACACAACAAAAGCAGGUUUCUACCUGUACCCAGCAGAGAGGGGCAAAGGAUCCAGCAAGACAAGGAAUUUCAUUUUUACGUAGUUCCAAAGCAAAAGAUCUUGCUUCCAAAAUGCUUACUCCGUUGCCCAAAUUCGAAUAGCUCUAGGACUAUCAUGAUGCUACUGCACUACAACAAAAUGGAACCCAUGAGCAUUUCAUAACUAAGUUGCAAAGGCUGCAGGAUCCUUUCCAUUUUUGCUUCUGCCGCUGCCUUCUUUCUAAAGGAAGAUUCAGCUUUUCAGAGGGCAGAGAUGAAGUACGGUUCCUUUUGAUUAAGGAUUGGAAGACAGAUUGCAGUUAAAGACCAUCACAUCAACAAAGUCAACAUCGAGAAAUUUUUCUGACCACAUCAACAGAAUCAAAGCUGGACUCAUUCUACUCUAAAAUGAAGCCAGGGGAGUAUAGGGAGGAGAGAGACCUGUGAAGAGUUUUAUGAGAAAAUUUUGUGAUGUAGAGUCCCCUCUGCCCACCCACCCAAAUACUUCUUUCUUUCUCCUCAAGCAUAAAAUGAACUUCCUUGGCACUGGCGAGCUAAAAAACUGUUCCCUGUUGUUAGAAAGUCAAGAACUACAUCACCAUUUUUGCCUGUAAGUGAAAGAAGGCUGCGCCUGCAGAGAAUGGGUUUAUCAAUAUGUCUUUGCACCAAAUGUGGGCCACAUAGAAGACAGACAACACAGAGUUGCCUGCCGAGUAAAGGGUGGUCUAGAAGCAUGGAGGAACCAGAUGGCCUAAAGUCAGAGACAGACCAAAGGAAUCCUAAAAUUUGUUGUAGGUCACCACUUCCAUGUCUCUCUAGACCAAAUGUAUUUACUUAAGAGGCCUGUAAUGAUGGGAAUCUCCAAAGGUUUAAAGGUUUCCUUUAGGGGAAAAAAAUCAGCUUCUACCGUCUGUUAGAUAUAGUGCUGACCUUCCAAAGACCAGUCCUAGACUCAGGACACAAGCAGAUAGAAUAGCAGCAGGCUAAUGGGGAUGGGAGCUUUGGUGGUGUGUGAGAAGGCUGAAGGCUAGCAGCAACCAACCAUGGACCCUACCUGGGGGGAAAGAGAGAACAGUCUUGGACUGACAAUACCUUAGGAUGAAGAUCUGAGAAUCUGACUACCAUUUUGGACUGGAAACAUUUUAAUUACUAAGUAAACUCAUCUAGACCAUCUUUUUUUCAUUUCAAGGGACUGUUCUGUAAAACACUAUCAAUUAACAAAAAAUGAACCAAAAAAUAAAAUUUCCAUUCAGGAACCAAGGAAGAUAAUAGCAUAACCCUAGGUAAAACAUUUGAAAAGAUGAUAUGAGCUUAAAGUAUAAAGUUGUGAUUUGAUCAUAUCACAUGACUUGUGCAUUCUACAUCUGAACUUCAUCCUAGGUACUUACUGUAUGUAGUUAUUUCUGUCCUUUGUAGCUUGAAUAGAAGUGAUUCAUGAAUUUUUGAUUUGGGCUUGUGUGUGUGUGUGCUGUGUUUUCCUAAGACCAUGGGGCAUUUUCCCCUCUUGCUCCUUCCAAUUCUGCCCUCAAGAAGGUCCCAGUUGGUGGUGUUAAUUGGCAGACAGUCUAACUAGUGUUUCUAUUUUCAGAGCUGCAAGUAAACUUGAACUGGAAACUUGAUAAGGCUGUUAUGGUUGUACCCACUGCAGCUAGCAGUGAUCAACAUGGAUUAGCAUCCAGACCAAGUAGAGGACAUGGGGGUGAAACAGGUUACAGAUCUGAUGUCCUGCCUUUUAAGCCAUGUGCGUAAUUACUUUUAGGAGUGAAACUAUCUUUCUUCUCUUAUUGGCUCCAAAUAUUUUCCUGGUUUUAAGCAUAUCCUUUGGAGUGACAGGAAGCUGCAGUGAAGGAAUUCUGCCUUGCUAGCGCUUAAGUAGUAACAGAAAGCCGUUCAUGACAGCUUUCUGGGCUCUGGCCAAACUCAUUAAAUAUGUUCCCUGCCUCAGACCUCCUUCUUCAGGGUCACAUGUCUAAUGUUGAUGACAUGUCCUUCCUAGAGAAAGUUGUUUUAAACAUACUGGACUCUCCCCCAUACUCUUUUUUGUUUUGUUGUUUUUUUUAUUUUAAUUAGAAAGAAAAUUACAUGUCAAUCCCAUGUCUCUUUCCCUCCCCUCCCCCCCUGUCUUCCCCCAA
Non-coding RNA from Cricetulus griseus (Chinese hamster), 2560 nucleotides. The record is from RefSeq and is a predicted model, not a curated record. Lineage: Eukaryota; Metazoa; Chordata; Mammalia; Rodentia; Cricetidae.